This is a non-coding RNA of Podarcis lilfordi (Lilford's wall lizard), 74 nucleotides long. The record is from the annotation of a GenBank genome assembly. Lineage: Eukaryota; Metazoa; Chordata; Lepidosauria; Squamata; Lacertidae.
GGAAGGGUGUAGCUCAGUGGUGGAGCAUCUGCUUGGCAUGAAGAAGGUCUUAGGUUCAAUCCCCAGCUCCUCCA